Long non-coding RNA from Cynoglossus semilaevis (tongue sole), 5731 nucleotides. RefSeq lists it as uncharacterized. The transcript is spliced from 3 exons. Lineage: Eukaryota; Metazoa; Chordata; Actinopteri; Pleuronectiformes; Cynoglossidae. The record is from RefSeq and is a predicted model, not a curated record.
UGUCAACAUUAAAGAAAAUAGAUGUAACCAGAAAUAAGCUAACAGACUGACUUAAGAUAACGAUAGGAGGUUUACAGGAAUGAAAUGAUAUAACCGUUUGAAAUUCAGUAGUACUCUGUUUCAGUACUGAAGUAUAAGGGAAAUGUGCACAAUAAGUUUAUAUAAUAUGGGUUAAAGGUCACCUGAGUGUUUUAACUAAACACACUAUCGAUAUUGAUCAGUUUCUUAUCGGUAUCGAUUGCGUUGUCGAACAGUUUUGGUUGGUGUAUGUGUCUUGUGUCUGUGCUUCUGUUCCCAUUGUCUGUGAAGAACACAACCUUAAAAUAACUUCACACCACAAAUCACCAGAGCUUAAAACUAAUUAAAAACAAGUCAAACUCCGCCCACCAGGGUUACACGUCCAAACCAACACGUAUGUUUUCAUGAAUAUAUUUAAAAAUCCAGCAUUUCCAAACGGUGCUGCUGUCUUUCAGUCUACAUCAAAGCUCGUCCCGUUCUGCUCCUAUUUGGGUCUUAUUUUCGCCUUUUCUCACAAUCCUGUUUUGUGGAGGAAUGCAGGCCCGGGCCAGCUGUGUGUCCUAUCCCGGCCCAGCUGUGUUGAUCUAACGCGCCAGUCCCAGACAUGCUGGCGCCAGCCUCCCGACGUCAUCCAUUCACCCCGACGCGCACUCUGGGCUCUGGCAGCCGGCCCGCCUCCUCCCCCCUCCUCCCGUCCUGCGGAGGAGAAGAGAGGAGCAACAGGCGCUCGGAGAGCCCAUUGGUUAUCCGACACUGUCACUCAGGCAGAGUGGAAGGCUCUAAGCUCCGCCCACUGCUCGCUUCUGCAGAUGCACUCUGGAGAAAUGAAGACACACUUCUUUCCAAACACUCACGGAACUUGUGUAAUGAGGAAAGAGCAGCAUGACUCGAUGAAAAUGAAUAUAAACCAACACAGAGGUUGAGCUCAGUGACUCCACAGGUUUAUAUCACCGUUAAUAAAUCACUCACAGUCAGCGGCAAAUCCAGGAAACUCCGUUGGUGGACGUUAAACACAUCUGCUGACAUUUUCCAGCGUUUUAAAAACUACAGCAUUUUGAAAUUUUAAGUAAAAAAAAAAAAGUCGUGCUCCCUGAAUUAGAAAACGGAAAUAAUUGAUUAUUAAUGUCAAUUGAUCAUUGAUUAGUCACUUAAUAAUCAACAUUUCAUUCCUGAAUUCAAAUGCAGAUGUUUCCAGGGAAUUACUCAGGCUCACGGGAAAAAUAUCUGGUUAUUAUAUCAAAUCAAAUCUUUCUUUUUUAAAAUUAGCUCUGCUUUUGUUUGUUAUUGGUCGAGUCGUUGGAUGGACGGUUGACAGGAUAGGAUUAGCUUUAUCUUUAAAUCUGAAUUACUGCCACCUACUGGCUUCACCUUCACCCACCUCACCAAGUUAAAAAAGAAAUGUUGAAAACACAGACAGAGGGCAACAUCCCUGCAGGUGGUAACGACAGCAUCCUCUGGUUGAACUACUUUGUAUGACGUGUGUUAGAGCUUAUAACAUAUACCUGAGUGCUGUAUGUCUGCCCACUUUUACUCAUUUUAUUAUUUUAAAACCAAAUACUAGAAGUGGCUGAUGUGCACUAACACAGAUCGUCCUGUUUUCAGUGUGUCACUUGGCCUGGAUGCAACAGUAGUUUUUUUUUUUUUUUAAAAAAAAGCGGUUUUCCAACUCUGCUGGUGCCAGCCCGUGCGCGUCACGACUAUUUUGCAACCCCGUCUCACGCACUCGGAAUCAAGGAGUGGAACUUUCUAUUUCUGGUAAAUGUGUUGUGAAACUUUUGCUGUUAUGAUUUUAGGAUUUUAACACGAUGGGCCGGGACGAGUUCGCUGUAUUCUUAUCUUCUUUCUGGACAAACGCACCGAGCACGGACUGAGACGCAUCCUCCCUGUUCACGCAGAGGUUUAACAGAUGUUGGAGUCGGCCGCGCGCGCCCCGCGCACACGAACACACACUCGCUGACCCGUCGUGACAAACCCAUCAGCUCGACCUCACUUACGAGCAGACCACAGUAUUGACCCGUGAGAGCAGCUGGACUUUGGUCCAGAACUAUUUUAGAAUCACAGUAAAAUGUGUGAGCUGCAGACUCUGACCUCAAAUACAGAACCGACAUCAGCCUGAACACGCGAGGAAUGAUGGGAAAAUACAAUCAGCGUUUACAUUAUGAUUAUUAUUAUUAGCACCAACAUGACGAUCCAUGAGAAUAACAUGAGUUCCCUUGUCUGACAUGCAUAUGACAGAGCAUGGCUGCAAGAUUCCAGAGUUUCCGCUGCAGGAAUCCACCUGAGGUGCUCACCAGUGACACAUAAAGAUUUCAAGGGUCAAUCUGUGCUGCCGGACAACUGACCUUGAGUGAAACCAGUACGCAAGGGCACCAGGGUUCACGCUCUACCCCCAACUCUCCCCCAGGCCGCAGAUGCACUGACCCAGACAAGGCUGCACUUCUCUGGGCAGCACAGAGACAUUGCUGUGCUCCGGUUCCUGGAGCCAUGAUGCUCUGAUUGAGACCCUGCGUCCAUGCAGGAACCAGAGGGAGGGGAGGGAAGAGAGGGCAGAGCUGGGGAGGGUACGCAAACACAUCUGGCAUCUGUAGGAAAAAAAAAAACCCUGAACACAACUCCCAUAUCAUGUGAGAAAAGUAUGCACCAUACAGGAAGGCAAAGUCGGCUUCGUCCGCUUUAAAGAUGCCGGAGAUCUGUGAUAUUUAAGAAGGAAAUAAAAACGUGGGAACUUUUUACAUCUCAAAUUACACUCAAAAACUUUACUACUGGAAAUACAGGGGAUACAGUUAGAGAGUUGUCAUGACGAGGAAGUGAAGCACAACAGAGUCAUUAAGCAACACGACAUAACAGAGAUCUAUACUGUAUAUCUCACUUUGGCUAAACUUGGACAUGAAUUCUUUAAAGUCUUAUAAAGCGAGGGCUACAGCAGUGGUUUCCCACCUUUUUUGGCUUGUGACCAUAUUUUGACAUCACACAUUUCUAGCGACCUCCGAGACAUUUUUGUUUUAGGCAUGUCACAGCAGCUGUCAAUCAAGAUGAACCAGCUCAGAUAUUUUCUAUAUGCUGCAUUUUCUUUGAACUUGAUUCAUGUUCACGAGAGAGAGGAAAUAGAGUUGUUAAAGAUGUUUAAAAUUUUAAAAAGAAUGAUAAUUGGUGUAAAACAUAUUUUUAUCAAUAAUGCUUUUUCUAAAAUUACUAGACAUUUACAUCGACACCAUUUGAAUACCAGCUGGCCCUACUUGGGGUCUUGACCCUAAGGUUGAAAAACACAGGUACAGUGUAAAUAAGACAAAAACUGCCGAGACAUCUGACCAACGUCUCAACCUAAAAAUAUGACACGUAGACUUUUUAUACCCACUGUAAACAUCUGCAGAAGUUACACACGGCCGUAGACAUACAGAACUUCAUUUCUGUUUCUGCUACAGUGCAGAUAACUAAUUACAGGAGGAGCGGGACAAGAAGACACACCACGUCUCCAGCUGGGAGGACAGCACCAGAGGAUACCACUCUGCUGUUGCUCUAUUUUUAAAGCGCACCGAACAAUGCUACGUUGGUGUCUCACAAAAAAAUACAAAAAACAAAUUGUUUUCGCUGCAUCUUAAGAAGAAUAACACAAAGCUGCUUUCAGUGGCCCAAUGGUAUAGUACAGUAUAUACACAUACAGUGUAAGAUGUAUUGGAGCUGUCACUGGGGAAGAAAAAUGAAAAGCUGUGAAAGGAGGACACAACAGAGAACAGAUCAGAGUGCACGAAAUCUGUGUGGGUGCACGUCUCUGCAAGGUGUCUUUUAGGAGGGUUUGUUUCUGUUGCGUGGGCGAUACCUGCUGCAUUAGGCAGCGGUACAGGGCCAACACAGAGUGGUUGUAUGUGUCUGCGUUGGUGUGUGUGUUUGUGUGUGUGUGUGAACAUAUUUGGGUAUAAGUGCAGAACACUUUUGAUAAACACAGCACCUCCCUGUUUCAUAGAAAUCCUGAACCACAUCACACGUUUCUAUAACUCUAACGUUCCCUAUGUUCAUGAGUAUGUUGACAGACUAGUCUCUAAUAUCUCAGAUGAAUAUGAGACAAACAGUAUUUCAUAAAAGGUGCAAGUUGGAGCACAGGGUCCAAACCUUUAGUGGGGCAAUAUCUGGUAAUGAUAUAAACUUAUGGGGCAAAUGCUCCUGCUGUGCCAAAAAAACAAAACAAAAGAGUGGGGUCAACAAAUACACAAAAGAUACCUGGAAGAUAGAUUAUUUUUAAAUUGGGUGAUAAAUAAAUUAAUAUAUUAAUUUUAUUAUAUUGUCUAUUUAAACAACACAAAUAUAAAUAGCUGACUGAUAACAAAAGUUUGACCCAAAAAAGUACAAAAUCACAGAAAAAGGCUAGACUUUAAAAAAACAACUAAAAUGUUAAUAAAUAAAUAGCCAACCAAAGGAGCUGAAAAAAGCCAAGAACAUAUUCACAAGUAGUGGCAAAGGUUGAUUUACCUGAAAGACAGAUGUUAAAUGUUAACCAAAUAAAACUAAACACAGUAUAACGUGACUAAACAUUAGAACAUGUAAACGUUAAGUCAAAACAGAUAAAUGUACAGCCCAAACGUAGCAAAAAUGAAACUAGCUAAAAUAGCUAAUAGCUAAUAAAUAGCUAGCCCAAAAUAGAUAAUUCUUAAGUCAAUUACCCAUCAGUUAAGAAAACACUUACUUUGUUAGUCAGAAUGCAGUCAAAAGAUAUUCAAAAAUGUAUUAAAUUAGUUGCUAGGUAUUAGGCCACAAAGAGCUAAACAUUAGGAAAAACAAAAUUGAAUGAGACAAAGUUUCAAAACAACUUAGUGUAAUACUCAAAUCUGACCAGCAGGAGUACAUUUUGAUUUCUAAGAUACAGAAUAUAAUAACAUGGAGAAGCCAAUUAUAUGGCCCCAGGCCUUAUUCUUGGACAUGUCCUGUUCAUUUCAACCAUAGUUCAGUAAAAAGGAUUUACAGACCUCUGUCUCCAUUAUAGCAGAACCCCUCUGAGCUACAUGAGUAUAAAAGCAUUUUCUUUGUACAUCUUUGCACUGGAUGAAACUGUAGCCAUUGAAUUGAAGGGUCCUCUCAUGUACGCAUGCAUACACAAACACUGAAGCAGAACAAGCCUCAAUGCAGGACUAGUAUGCCCACCGGACCUACACUAUUGUUUGCUGAGGGGCCUUUAGUGGCUCCACAGCUGGUAACAAAGAGUUCAUAUCUCACAGCAGAGCUUCCUACUGACCUGAGAUCAGUCACAAAGAAAAGACAGGGCCGCUCAGAGGAACAUGUUGACUAUUUUACUGCACUUACUCUGUCACAACAGGAAUGUUGAUGCAGAAGUCUGACCUCGGGUCCAAUCAUGGCCACAAUUACCUGAGGGUUUGAUUAGAGUUCAGGCCAGCUUUGAUUAUUAGCUUAUUUAGCCAUAUCUAGCCCACAGUUUUACCAUCUUUGGCCGACCUGGAGUACUUAAGUCAAUGUCUUGGAUACAUUUCUUGCCUAUUUUUUAUUUAGAUGAUACGGACUGAUGCUACUUUGAGCUAAGUUUAUUAAAUAAUUGUCAAAUGCACUGUCCUAGCAUUCAAUUAUUAUACAUUUAUUUAUAAAGUCUUGCGAUCACCUAAGGUAUACAUAGUUCGCUUUUCCUAAACUGUCUCAGGCUACAUUUAUGCUAGUUUUAUGCAUGUACUUAAUUUUGUUUGAACAAAUACAUUGCUAAUUUUAAUACGGA